This 433-nucleotide ribosomal RNA is filed under the name uncultured bacterium. RNAcentral's name for it is "partial 16S ribosomal RNA". It matches the Rfam family "Bacterial small subunit ribosomal RNA", at positions 29 to 507 of the family's 1533-position model. The record is from RNAcentral.
AACGAACGCUGGCGGCAUGCCUAACACAUGCAAGUCGAACGAGACCUUCGGGUCUUGUGGCGCACGGUUGCGUAACGCGUGGGAACCUGCCCUUAGGUUCGGAAUAACUCCCCGAAAGGGGUGCCAAUACCGGAUAAUGUCUUCGGACCAAAGAUUUAUCGCCUUUGGAUGGGCCCGCGUUGGAUUAGCUAGUUGGUAGGGUAAAAGCCUACCAAGGCGACGAUCCAUAGCUGGUCUGAGAGGAUGAUCAGCCACACUGGGACUGAGACACGGCCCAGACUCCUACGGGAGGUAGCAGUGGGGAAUAUUGGAAAAUGGGCGAAAGCCUGAUGCAGCAAUGCCGCGUGAGUGAUGAAGGCCUUAGGGUUGUAAAGCUCUUUUACCCGGGAUGAUAAUGACAGUACCGGGAGAAUAAGCUCCGGCUAACUCCGUG